Molecule: ribosomal RNA, 446 nt
Filed under: uncultured bacterium
Lineage: Bacteria
Description: bacterial SSU rRNA
Rfam family: Bacterial small subunit ribosomal RNA
Source: RNAcentral
AACCAGACUCCUACGGGAGGCAGCAGUGGGGAAUAUUGCACAAUGGGGGAAACCCUGAUGCAGCGACGCCGCGUGAAGGAAGAAGUAUUUCGGUAUGUAAACAUCUCUCAGCAGGGAAGAAAAUGACGGUACCUGAGUAAGAAGCCCCGGCUAACUACGUGCCAGCAGCCGCGGUAAUACGUAGGGGGCAAGCGUUAUCCGGAUUUACUGGGUGUAAAGGGAGCGUAGACGGCAGUGCAAGUCUGGAGUGGAAGGCGGGGGCUCGACCCCCGGACUGCUCUGGAAACUGUACGGCUGGAGUGCAGGAGAGGUAAGUGGAAUUCCUAGUGUAGCGGUGAAAUGCGUAGAUAUUAGGAGGAACACCAGUGGCGAAGGCGGCUUACUGGACUGUAACUGACGUUGAGGCUCGAAAGCGUGGGGAGCAAACAGGAUUAGAUACCCGGGUA